RNAcentral lists this ribosomal RNA (654 nucleotides) under uncultured archaeon. Its description in RNAcentral is "bacterial SSU rRNA". It matches the Rfam family "Archaeal small subunit ribosomal RNA", at positions 1 to 657 of the family's 1478-position model. The record is from RNAcentral.
UUCGCCCUUGGUUGAUCCUGCCGGACCUGACUGCUAUCGGAUUGAUACUAAGCCAUGCGAGUCAUUGUAGCAAUACAAGGCAUACGGCUCAGUAACGCGUAGUCAACCUAACCUAUGGACGGGAAUAACCUCGGGAAACUGAGAAUAAUGCCCGAUAGAACACUAUACCUGGAAUGGUUUGUGUUCCAAAUGAUUUAUCGCCGUAGGAUGGGACUGCGGCCUAUCAGUUUGUUGGUGAGGUAAUGGCCCACCAAGACUAUUACAGGUACGGGCUCUGAGAGGAGUAGCCCGGAGAUGGGUACUGAGACACGGACCCAGGCCCUAUGGGGCGCAGCAGGCGAGAAAACUUUGCAAUGUGCGAAAGCACGACAAGGUUAAUCCGAGUGAUUUGUGCUAAACGAAUCUUUUGUUAGUCCUAGAACCACUAACGAAUAAGGGGUGGGCAAGUUCUGGUGUCAGCCGCCGCGGUAAAACCAGCACCUCAAGUGGUCAGGAUGAUUAUUGGGCCUAAAGCAUCCGUAGCCGGCUCUGUAAGUUUUCGGUUAAAUCUGUACGCUUAACGUACAGGCUGCCGGGAAUACUGCAGAGCUAGGGAGUGGGAGAGGUAGACGGUACUCGGUAGGAAGGGGUAAAAUCCUUUGAUCUAUUGAUGAC